GAUGAGCGCUGACAGAAUGCUUAACACAUGCAAGUCGAUGGGGAAGUGGUGCUUGCACCAUGGUAACCAUGGCGGACGGGUGAGUAACGCGUAAGGAACUUGCCUGCGGGACUGGGAUAACAGCAGGAAACUGCUGAUAAUACCGGAUAAGGUCAUUAAGCUGCAUAGCUUAGUGAUGAAAGGAGACGCCUGCGGAGAGCCUUGCGUCCUAUUAGCUAGUUGGAGGGGUAACGGCCCACCAAGGCGAAGAUAGGUAGCCGGCCUGAGAGGGUGGACGGCCACAAGGGGACUGAGAUACGGCCCUUACUCCUACGGGAGGCAGCAGUGGGGAAUAUUGGACAAUGGGGGCAACCCUGAUCCAGCAAUUCUGUGUGCACGAAGACGGUUUUCGGAUUGUAAAGUGCUUUCAGCAGGGAAGAAGGAAGUGACGGUACCUGCAGAAGAAGCGACGGCUAAA
RNAcentral lists this ribosomal RNA (457 nucleotides) under uncultured bacterium. RNAcentral describes it as "partial 16S ribosomal RNA". It matches the Rfam family "Bacterial small subunit ribosomal RNA", at positions 28 to 501 of the family's 1533-position model. The record is from RNAcentral.